CAGCGGCCCUAGUGGUGAUCGUUAUUAUUGGGCCUAAAGCGUCCGUAGCCGGUUCGGUAAAUCUCUGGGUAAAUCGAUGGGCUUAACCCAUCGAAUUCUGGGGAGACUGCUGGACUUGGGACCGGGAGAGGUCGGAGGUACUCCAGGGGUAGGGGUGAAAUCCUGUAAUCCUUGGGGGACCACCGGUGGCGAAGGCGUCCGACCAGAACGGGUCCGACGGUAAGGGACGAAGCCCUGGGGCGCAAACCGGAUUAGAUACCCGAGUAGUCC
RNAcentral lists this ribosomal RNA (270 nucleotides) under uncultured archaeon. RNAcentral describes it as "partial 16S ribosomal RNA". It matches the Rfam family "Archaeal small subunit ribosomal RNA", at positions 477 to 747 of the family's 1478-position model. The record is from RNAcentral.